Molecule: ribosomal RNA, 362 nt
Filed under: uncultured bacterium
Lineage: Bacteria
Description: partial 16S ribosomal RNA
Rfam family: Bacterial small subunit ribosomal RNA
Source: RNAcentral
CCUACGGGAGGCAGCAGUGAGGAAUAUUGGUCAAUGGACGCAAGUCUGAACCAGCCAUGCCGCGUGCAGGAAGACGGCUCUAUGAGUUGUAAACUGCUUUUGUACGAGGGUAAACGCAGAUACGUGUAUAUGUCUGAAAGUAUCGUACGAAUAAGGAUCGGCUAACUCCGUGCCAGCAGCCGCGGUAAUACGGAGGAUUCAAGCGUUAUCCGGAUUUAUUGGGUUUAAAGGGUGCGUAGGCGGUUGGAUAAGUUAGUGGUGAAAGCCCGAGGCUCAACUGCGGAAUUGCAGUUGAUACUGGCAGGCUUGAGAGCAGUAGAGGUAGGCGGAAUGUAUGGUGUAGCGGUGAAAUGCUUAGAGAU